Molecule: ribosomal RNA, 253 nt
Filed under: uncultured bacterium
Lineage: Bacteria
Description: partial 16S ribosomal RNA
Rfam family: Bacterial small subunit ribosomal RNA
Source: RNAcentral
UACAGAGGUGGCAAGCGUUAUUCGGAAUUAUUGGGCGUAAAGGGCGCGUAGGCGGCGUCUCAAGUGGAUGGUGAAAUCCCCGGGCUUAACCUGGGAACUGCCGUCCAAACUGAGAGGCUUGAGUCCGGGAGAGGUAAGUGGAAUUCCCAGUGUAGCGGUGAAAUGCGUAGAUAUUGGGAGGAACACCAGUGGCGAAGGCGGCUUACUGGACCGGAACUGACGCUGAGGCGCGAAAGCGUGGGGAGCAAACAGG